This 139-nucleotide small RNA is filed under the name Microbispora rosea. RNAcentral describes it as "c-di-AMP sequence". It matches the Rfam family "c-di-AMP riboswitch aptamer (ydaO/yuaA leader)". From Rfam's summary of the family: This family represents a conserved RNA structure found upstream of the ydaO and yuaA genes in Bacillus subtilis and related genes in other bacteria. The ydaO/yuaA element is thought to act as a genetic "off" switch for the ydaO and yuaA genes in its native state. The record is from RNAcentral. Lineage: Bacteria; Bacillati; Actinomycetota; Actinomycetes; Streptosporangiales; Streptosporangiaceae.
ACAACCGGUACGCCUAAUCCCGGGCGCCCCGCCCGGGAGCCGGGGACCCAAUCACGCACCUGGGGUCAAGGCAGUGACCUGCCCGGGCUUCUCCAGCCCGAACCCGUCAGCUAACCCGGUCGGCAGAUGGAGAGGAGUG